This 510-nucleotide ribosomal RNA is filed under the name uncultured Glomus. RNAcentral describes it as "SSU rRNA". It matches the Rfam family "Eukaryotic small subunit ribosomal RNA", at positions 569 to 1081 of the family's 1831-position model. The record is from RNAcentral. Lineage: Eukaryota; Fungi; Glomeromycota; Glomeromycetes; Glomerales; Glomeraceae.
AGCAGCCGCGGUAAUUCCAGCUCCAAUAGCGUAUAUUAAAGUUGUUGCAGUUAAAAAGCUCGUAGUUGAAUUUCGGGAUCAAUAUGUUGGUCGUGCCUUUGGUACGUACUAGCUUAUUGAUUUCUCCCUUCUGACGAACCAUGAUGUCAUUAAUUUGGUGUCAUGGGGAAUCAGGACUGUUACUUUGAAAAAAUUAGAGUGUUUAAAGCAGGCUUACGCUUGAAUAUAUUAGCAUGGAAUAAUGAAAUAGGACGUUUUGAUUCUAUUUUGUUGGUUUCUAGGAUCGACGUAAUGAUUAAUAGGGAUAGUUGGGGGCAUUAGUAUUCAAUUGUCAGAGGUGAAAUUCUUGGAUUUAUUGAAGACUAACUACUGCGAAAGCAUUUGCCAAGGAUGUUUUCAUUAAUCAAGAACGAAAGUUAGGGGAUCGAAGACGAUCAGAUACCGUCGUAGUCUUAACCAUAAACUAUGCCGACUAGGGAUCGGAUGAUGUUAAUUUUUAAUGACUCAUUC